AAAAGAUUUCUUUAUUGCAGAUUCAUAAAACUCUGAUCUGAGAUCAGAGUUUUAUGAAUUUGCAAUAAAAUCCUUUU
Non-coding RNA from Pelobates cultripes (western spadefoot toad), 77 nucleotides. Lineage: Eukaryota; Metazoa; Chordata; Amphibia; Anura; Pelobatidae. The record is from the annotation of a GenBank genome assembly.